UCCGAUAUGGUGUAGUGGUUAACAUCGUUCGCUCUCAUGGGUUCACGGGCUUCUAAACCUGUUCACCUGCGAUCCGAACAGCCCCGGGUUCGAUUCCCGGUGUCGGAA
Molecule: transfer RNA, 108 nt
Rfam family: tRNA
About the family: Transfer RNA (tRNA) molecules are approximately 80 nucleotides in length. Their secondary structure includes four short double-helical elements and three loops (D, anti-codon, and T loops).
Source: Rfam